RNAcentral lists this ribosomal RNA (254 nucleotides) under uncultured bacterium. RNAcentral describes it as "partial 16S ribosomal RNA". It matches the Rfam family "Archaeal small subunit ribosomal RNA", at positions 474 to 727 of the family's 1478-position model. The record is from RNAcentral.
UACCAGCACCCCGAGUGGUCGGGACGUUUUAUUGGGCCUAAAGCAUCCGUAGCCGGUCCUGCAAGUCUUCCGUUAAAUCCAGCUGCUCAACAGAUGGGCUGCGGGGGAUACUACAGGGCUAGGAGGCGGGAGAGGCAAGCGGUACUUUAUGGGUAGGGGUAAAAUCCGUUGAUCCAUAGAAGACCACCAGUGGCGAAGGCGGCUUGCCAGAACGCGCUCGACGGUGAGGGAUGAAAGCUGGGGGAGCAAACCGG